UACGUAGGGCGCAAGCGUUGUCCGGAAUUAUUGGGCGUAAAGAGCUCGUAGGCGGUCCGUCACGUCUGCCGUGAAAACCCGAGGCUUAACCUCGGGCCUGCGGUGGAUACGGGCGAGCUAGAGGUAGGUAGGGGAGAACGGAAUUCCUGGUGUAGCGGUGGAAUGCGCAGAUAUCAGGAGGAACACCGGUGGCGAAGGCGGGUCUCUGGGCCGUUACUGACGCUGAGGAGCGAAAGCGUGGGGAGCGAACAGG
RNAcentral lists this ribosomal RNA (253 nucleotides) under uncultured bacterium. RNAcentral's name for it is "partial 16S ribosomal RNA". It matches the Rfam family "Bacterial small subunit ribosomal RNA", at positions 524 to 776 of the family's 1533-position model. The record is from RNAcentral.